RNAcentral lists this ribosomal RNA (253 nucleotides) under uncultured bacterium. RNAcentral's name for it is "partial 16S ribosomal RNA". It matches the Rfam family "Bacterial small subunit ribosomal RNA", at positions 524 to 776 of the family's 1533-position model. The record is from RNAcentral.
UACGGAGGGUGCAAGCGUUGUUCGGAAUCACUGGGCGUAAAGGGCGUGUAGGCGGUCUGCUAAGUCUGAUGUGAAAGCCCGAGGCUUACCCUCGGAAGGGCAUUGGAGACUGGCGGGCUAGAGUCCCGGAGAGGAGGGUGGAAUUCCUGGUGUAGCGGUGAAAUGCGUAGAUAUCAGGAGGAACACCGGCGGCGAAGGCGGCCCUCUGGACGGUGACUGACGCUGAUACGCGAAAGCGUGGGGAGCAAACAGG